GGAGGGGGCGCGCGCCGCGUGGGUUCGAUUCCCG
This 34-nucleotide transfer RNA is filed under the name Hemiselmis rufescens. RNAcentral's name for it is "partial Selenocysteine transfer RNA". The record is from RNAcentral. Lineage: Eukaryota; Cryptophyceae; Cryptomonadales; Hemiselmidaceae.